UGAUCUUGUGGGACGUUGGAGCAAAACAAACAAAUCUCUUAGUUAUGUCUACCAUGACAGGGCGAGCAGCCGCCUCGUCAAGUAACACCAGAGCUUCACCUUUGCACUGAGUGACGAAGACGAGCUUCACCAGAACAUGAAAAGUAAAGGCAUUUCGAUGGAGCGACAAGUGAUGGGAUCGUCUUGGAGUAUUUAUCCUUUGCUGAUCAAGUGAUGGGAUUGCUAAUCGAGUGCUUUAUUUCAUAUAAGUAGCCUAGGAUGAUAUUCAUUUCGAUCGUAUCAAGUCGCCAUUUAGAAUACUUUGAAACAGUGGAGCAGUGCGUGUGUGAUCGUCACAAACUUUAAUUCAUGUGUGGUGUGGAUGGAGUGGGAAACAUUUAACUAUGUGGUGUGGUGUAAUUUCAUACUACUUCUGUGGUUUAAUUAAUUGUGUUUUGAUGCAUGUUAAAUGUAUAGUUAAUUA
This is a long non-coding RNA of Sorghum bicolor (sorghum), 463 nucleotides long. RefSeq lists it as uncharacterized. The record is from RefSeq and is a predicted model, not a curated record. The transcript has 2 exons. NCBI's taxonomy places the organism in Eukaryota, Viridiplantae, Streptophyta, Magnoliopsida, Poales, Poaceae.